This 22-nucleotide non-coding RNA is filed under the name Arabidopsis thaliana (thale cress). The record is from RNAcentral. Lineage: Eukaryota; Viridiplantae; Streptophyta; Magnoliopsida; Brassicales; Brassicaceae.
GAUAGGAUGUUAGCAUAUUGAG